ACGGAAGGCAGCAGUGGGGAAUAUUGGACAAUGGGCGGAAGCCUGAUCCAGCAACGCCGCGUGAGGGAUGACGGCCUUCGGGUUGUAAACCUCUUUCACCAUUGACGAAGCUGCAUCUUUUUGGGUGUGGUGACGGUAGGUGGGGAAGAAGCACCGGCCAACUACGUGCCAGCAGCCGCGGUAAUACGUAGGGUGCGAGCGUUGUCCGGAAUUAUUGGGCGUAAAGGGCUCGUAGGCGGUUUGUCGCGUCGGGAGUGAAAUCAUCUGGCUUAACUGGGUGCUUGCUUUCGAUACGGGCAGACUAGAGGUAUGCAGGGGAGAACGGAAUUCCUGGUGUAGCGGUGAAAUGCGCAGAUAUCAGGAGGAACACCGGUGGCGAAGGCGGUUCUCUGGGCAUGAUCUGACGCUGAGGAGCGAAAGUGUGGGGAGCGAACAGGAUUAGAUACCCUGGUA
Molecule: ribosomal RNA, 453 nt
Filed under: uncultured Nocardioides sp.
Lineage: Bacteria; Bacillati; Actinomycetota; Actinomycetes; Propionibacteriales; Nocardioidaceae
Description: bacterial SSU rRNA
Rfam family: Bacterial small subunit ribosomal RNA
Source: RNAcentral